GGAUCGAUGAUGAGUCCUCCAAUAACAUUCCUUGGAAAAGCUGAACAAAAUGAGUGAAAACCCACUACCGUCUCGCUCAUCGUGACUGAGGUCC
Molecule: small nucleolar RNA, 94 nt
Organism: Marmota marmota marmota (Alpine marmot)
Lineage: Eukaryota; Metazoa; Chordata; Mammalia; Rodentia; Sciuridae
Gene: SNORD116
Rfam family: Small nucleolar RNA SNORD116
About the family: HBII-85 is a member of the C/D class of snoRNAs, which contain the C (UGAUGA) and D (CUGA) box motifs. HBII-85 is encoded in a tandemly repeated array with another C/D snoRNA, HBII-52, in the Prader-Willi syndrome (PWS) region of chromosome 15.
Source: Ensembl